GCAAAACGCGAAGAACCUUACCCACCUUUGACAUGGCAGGAACUUACCAGAGAUGGUUUGGUGCUCGAAAGAGAACCUGCACACAGGUGCUGCAUGGCUGUCGUCAGCUCGUGUCGUGAGAUGUUGGGUUAAGUCCCGCAACGAGCGCAACCCUUGCCAUUAGUUGCUACAUUCAGUUGAGCACUCUAAUGGGACUGCCGGUGACAAACCGGAGGAAGGUGGGGAUGACGUCAAGUCCUCAUGGCCCUUAUAGGUGGGGCUACGCACGUCAUACAAUGGCUGGUACAAAGGGUUGCCAACCCGCGAGGGGGAGCUAAUCCCAUAAAGCCAGUCGUAGUCCGGAUCGCAGUCUGCAACUCGGCUGCGUGAAGUCGGAAUCGCUAGUAAUCGUGGAUCAGAAUGUCACGGUGAAUACGUUCCCGGGUCUUGUACACACCG
Molecule: ribosomal RNA, 438 nt
Filed under: uncultured bacterium
Lineage: Bacteria
Description: bacterial SSU rRNA
Rfam family: Bacterial small subunit ribosomal RNA
Source: RNAcentral